Small nucleolar RNA from Papaver somniferum (opium poppy), 138 nucleotides. RefSeq annotates it as small nucleolar RNA snoR134. Lineage: Eukaryota; Viridiplantae; Streptophyta; Magnoliopsida; Ranunculales; Papaveraceae. The record is from RefSeq and is a predicted model, not a curated record. The transcript has a single exon.
CUACAUAUUGCACCCCAGGAAUCUCUGACAAUAUGGUGAUGAAAAAAUCCCCAAUGCUUAUGCUAGAUUUGUGACGUUUAGUCCAGGUUCGCUUAGUUUCUUCGACAACUUAUUUGUGUUAAAAUAACUGCCACAUUU